UCUUCUUGUAAAGGAGACCUUAAUAUUAUGCACCAUUUUGAAGGCAUGAAAUCUUUACCAAAACCGAGAGCAAGAAAAUGCACGUUUUAUCUUAUUAAAUACGUAUUGUACUAUUAAAUGAGGAAUGAGGUAAAAUGCCUGGAUGGAAACCAGAUUGCUUCAAGUCUGCACAUGAUGAAAGAGAUGGAAAACCAGGCAAACAUAAGUCGUAUGAUGAAUUGGCUGUGGCAAGAUACAGUGACAUACCAGAUGACAGGAAGGGGACCUGUUUUGUGGAGUUGUUUAAAAAAGAAGGCUGCAGCUUAGGACUUACGGUGUCAGGUAAGUUCUAACUGAUGAAAAAAUUUGCAGAAA
Molecule: unclassified non-coding RNA, 354 nt
Filed under: Lingula anatina
Lineage: Eukaryota; Metazoa; Brachiopoda; Lingulata; Lingulida; Lingulidae
Description: glutamate receptor-interacting protein 2-like, transcript variant X1
Source: RNAcentral